RNAcentral lists this ribosomal RNA (483 nucleotides) under uncultured bacterium. RNAcentral's name for it is "partial 16S ribosomal RNA". It matches the Rfam family "Bacterial small subunit ribosomal RNA", at positions 356 to 831 of the family's 1533-position model. The record is from RNAcentral.
AGGGAAUCUUCCACAAUGGACGCAAGUCUGAUGGAGCAACGCCGCGUGAGUGAAGAAGGCUUUCGGGUCGUAAAACUCUGUUAUUGAAGAAGAACGUGUGUGACAGUAACUGGUCAUGCAGUGACGGUAUUCAAUCAGAAAGUCACGGCUAACUACGUGCCAGCAGCCGCGGUAAUACGUAGGUGGCAAGCGUUGUCCGGAUUUAUUGGGCGUAAAGCGAGUGCAGGCGGUCUUUUAAGUCUGAUGUGAAAGCCUUCGGCUUAACCGAAGAAGGGCAUCGGAAACUGGGAGACUUGAGUGCAGAAGAGGAGAGUGGAACUCCAUGUGUAGCGGUGAAAUGCGUAGAUAUAUGGAAGAACACCAGUGGCGAAGGCGGCUCUCUGGUCUGUAACUGACGCUGAGGCUCGAAAGCGUGGGUAGCAAACAGGAUUAGAUACCCUGGUAGUCCACGCCGUAAGCGAUGAAUACUAAGUGUUGGAGGGG